CACGAUUGGGCGGAGUCAGGUACGUUGCAGCUGGCUGGGGUCGCGCGCUUCGCCCGCCACGAUGCUCGGGGAGAUUCAUCGUCAACAAAGUUGGUAUCCGUGCGACGCGCGAUGCUUGGGAUUUCGGUCCCGAGUCACGUCGUUGCUGCGCGAUAAUUCUGACUGUGUCGGCGUGCACUUCUCCCCUAGUAGAACGUCGCGACCCGUUGAGUGCUCGUCAAAGACCUCGGAUGGUCGACUGUGUCGUACCUUCGCAAGAUGUUAGUGCGCCAGACCGCCGGAAGUCCGACGAGCUGCUCGACGGUAGUUUUUUCAGUAGAGCGGUACAGAGCCGCAGAAAAUGCGUUCAGGCACUUCGGCAGGCGAAUCUCGUUCGGGAUGCGGACUCAGCGCCGCUUCUCGGAUUGUGAUUUUCCUUACGCCGGAGUUGUUCUCGGACCGGCUCUGAACAUUCGUUUAUACGGAUGUACCUGUCGGCGACGCUACUGCUUUGGGUACUUUCAGGACCCGUCUUGAAACACGGACCAAGGAGUAUAAA
This 538-nucleotide ribosomal RNA is filed under the name Erythmelus panis. RNAcentral's name for it is "partial large subunit ribosomal RNA". The record is from RNAcentral. Lineage: Eukaryota; Metazoa; Arthropoda; Insecta; Hymenoptera; Mymaridae.